This 301-nucleotide ribosomal RNA is filed under the name uncultured bacterium. Its description in RNAcentral is "partial 16S ribosomal RNA". It matches the Rfam family "Bacterial small subunit ribosomal RNA", at positions 509 to 807 of the family's 1533-position model. The record is from RNAcentral.
CAGUCGCCGCGGGAAUACGAAGGGAGCUAGCGUUGUUCGGAUUUACUGGGCGUAAAGCGCACGUAGGCGGAUCGAUCAGUCAGGGGUGAAACCCCAGAGCUCAACUCUGGAACUGCCUUUGAUACUGUCGAUCUGGAGUAUGGAAGAGGUGAGUGGAAUUCCGAGUGUAGAGGUGAAAUUCGUAGAUAUUCAGAGGAACACCAGUGGCGAAGGCGGCUCACUUGUCCAUUACUGACGCUGAGGCACGAAAGCGUGGGGAGCAAACAGGAUUAGAUACCCCCGUAGUCCCUGUCUCUUAUAC